Molecule: transfer RNA, 75 nt
Filed under: Hyunsoonleella flava
Lineage: Bacteria; Pseudomonadati; Bacteroidota; Flavobacteriia; Flavobacteriales; Flavobacteriaceae
Description: Hyunsoonleella sp. T58 tRNA-Glu
Rfam family: tRNA
About the family: Transfer RNA (tRNA) molecules are approximately 80 nucleotides in length. Their secondary structure includes four short double-helical elements and three loops (D, anti-codon, and T loops).
Source: RNAcentral
GCUCCGUUGGUCAAAUGGAUAAGACGCUACACUUUCUAUGUAGAAUUAAGAGUUCGAUUCUCUUACGGAGUACAA